Molecule: long non-coding RNA, 1219 nt
Organism: Coregonus clupeaformis (lake whitefish)
Lineage: Eukaryota; Metazoa; Chordata; Actinopteri; Salmoniformes; Salmonidae
Exons: 3
Source: RefSeq, a predicted model, not a curated record
UUCUUUUUAAAGCUUCAAUUCUGAUGAACCAAAAGAACAAAGAUUUCCCUUCAGUGAAUUCGAUGAGAACAACCAACUCAAUGACUCAACAGACACACUGGAGGCAGAGGGAGGGUUUGGGAGUACAGUUUGACACUUCAUGCUCAGAAAUCUCCCAGAGAUAUGGUCCAGCUACUACAAUAGAGAGAGGUACAGGAGGAACAGAAGUGUUGGGCUACAGAGGUAUCUCCAUUCCUCUUCCAUCCUCAUCCUCUCAAUACUCAGGCAGCACCACGUUCCCAUUGGUCCAUCCCCAGGACGAGAGGACUCCAUUAGCUCACCAUGCAGAGAGAUUCACGUUCCCAUUGGCUCAUCAUUACACAGACGUGAGGACAGUCUUCCCAUUGGCUCAUCAGACUGAGAGGAUGGGACAUUCACUGAACUAUCAUUGGAAUGAGGGGAUAGAUUUCCAAUUGGCUCAUCACCAAACAGAUGAAAGGUUUCUAUUGGCUCAUCACAGGGAGAGGACUGGUGGUCCAUCGCUUAUGGGACAGAAUGUGUCUCCCCUUUUCUCGAAUCAGUGAAUGUCAGAGGCAAACAUUUAUACACACACACACAGCUCUAUGGCGCUGCUGAUUACUACUGGGCAGGGUAUGCAACAGAAUCAGCACAAAUACAUUCCAAUCAUGACUCAAUGUGCACGUUUAAAAGUAUUUUUUUUUACAGGUUAUUGCAACAUAUCUCAGUGAAAUUGAUGAGUUUCUGUUUUUAAAAGUAUUUUCAGUAAUAAAAAAAAUAAUUUGUAUUAGUUGUUAUUAGUCCUAUGUUGAUAUCCCCUCUGAAUUGUACCAUGUCAUAAUCUCUGAAGAUUUGAGUGACUACCAUUUUUAGGCAGGAGAGGGCGACAGAGUCCUAUGGAUACAUUAUUUCUCUCACUGCCAGACAAGUUAAUCAGCUUGUUUGAGGGAUUCAGUUUGAGCGAUCACAGAAUAACUAAUCUUGAUCACAUAAUGCAAAGUUAUUUUGGAUGCAAGGUGCUUUGUAGAUCAGUGAUUCUGCGCAGCCUGACUGCAAUGCAAUCCAUCUCCAACACACACAAUCUCUCUGAGAGAAAGAGGAAUGGUGACAGUGCAGUGGGGUAUCUAUUUUCUGUCAGUGCUCAGCAUCUCCCCCAGAAAGAGUCAAUCAAUCAAUCAUCUUAUUAUUUAUAAAGCCCUUUUUACAUCAGCAGAUGUCACAA